UAAUCUGAUAUUAAGUUUAUAAAACCCAUACUAAAACAAAUGAAAGAAAAAGCCAUUUCGCUGUUCUGCUUGUCCCAGCACUGGACCAGCUCUCUGUGCUUGCCACCAUAGAUUCUGCUGCCCCCCUGAACCCUGUGCAGCUUGCUGCAGCAGAUGCCCAUCAUCGGCAUCUGCUGGGUCUGCUAGCUCAAAAUCGGAAAAACUGCUGCGAGGUUUUUUAAGAACUUCAUAAGGGAUCUCCCUCAUUGCCUUGCAUGUUUUCACACCUCUUGCCUGAACUCCAGCAAGAUGUGCUCGCACUCGCUCCGCUCCCCCAGUGUGAAUCUCAUGACAAUACUUACAUGUCCAGUGCCGCUCUGCUCGUAUCACAUGCUUCCAGCUCCAGCAUUCGUGGCAUCCUCC
This 402-nucleotide long non-coding RNA is filed under the name Selaginella moellendorffii. RNAcentral describes it as "long non-coding RNA (SMOE_LNC000079)". The record is from RNAcentral. Lineage: Eukaryota; Viridiplantae; Streptophyta; Lycopodiopsida; Selaginellales; Selaginellaceae.